AUGAAACCAAGGCAAACCAUCUUGCAUCCUAUUCAUCUCAUAUCUCUUCUGAACUAUUUACCCACAGGCUACAUCCCAAUCCAACAGAAAUUUGCUUAACAGUGGGAGAUGAUGCAUUUUGAACAGGGUUUGUUGAUGGCUGAAGACUAUAACCCAGCCUCAGCACAGAUGGUGCACUUGAAAAUAAUACCAUAAAGGCUCAUUAUUUUAAACAAUUAUUGAUUACACCCUGGGGAUUUUCCAAUUCCACUUGAUGCUGCUUUUAAAAUGCAGUUCUUUGGCCUGUUAAUGAUUAAAGAUUUGGAUUUCACUCUUUACACUAAAUGUAAGUGUUUAACAGGAAAAGAAAACCUAAGAAAGCACUCCCUCCUUAGAAUCCAAAAUGGAAGAUAAAAUAUAAAGGCUGAAAUUAAUUUACUGGAAAUUUUGCAUAGCACA
This 438-nucleotide long non-coding RNA is filed under the name Cyanistes caeruleus (blue tit). RNAcentral describes it as "lncRNA (ENSCCEG00000024165.1)". The record is from RNAcentral. Lineage: Eukaryota; Metazoa; Chordata; Aves; Passeriformes; Paridae.